This is a long non-coding RNA of Cyprinus carpio carpio, 617 nucleotides long. NCBI's taxonomy places the organism in Eukaryota, Metazoa, Chordata, Actinopteri, Cypriniformes, Cyprinidae. The record is from Ensembl.
AAAAAUAUAAAAUAUAAUAAUAUAAAAAAAUGGACAAAAACAUGGCGAAGAAAGGUUGUACUAGAGUGGAGGCGAUUGAUUUGAUCUUUGAUGACACCUGGGAAGAGGCUGAGCAUGACUUCGGACCCGGAGUUUGUGUAUUCAGACGUUGAGGAGGCAUAUGCUGCUGGCAUUGAUCCAGACGUGGAUUGAUGCCGAAGACAGUAACUACAUCAGGGGAAUCACAGGAGAUUUCAGCGACCAUAGAAUCACCGGUACAGAGCUGAUGAUCAGCGGUCCUGAGGGCAGCAGAGCAAAGACACAGUUACCUACGAAGAACCAAAUGGGCCAUCCACAUCGAACACAACACCAUCUCAGAGGGGCCGUGGUUGCAGCUGUAGCUGUAAAAUAAGUACAUGGCAGGAGUUGACACCUCCAACAAGAUACUCAGAACAAAGUCGGUGCACCAUAAAACACGGAAGUGGUACAUAACAAUUUUCCAGCACUUCCUGGACAUUGCAGUGACCAACUGCUUAAUUUUACACAAAGCGUUGUGUGUCAUCCACCAUGACAAGCACAUGACACGGCAAAACUUUCAGGAGCAGCUAGCUGCUCAGCUCACAGCUAGCUGCUCAGCG